RNAcentral lists this ribosomal RNA (263 nucleotides) under uncultured prokaryote. Its description in RNAcentral is "partial 16S ribosomal RNA". It matches the Rfam family "Bacterial small subunit ribosomal RNA", at positions 524 to 786 of the family's 1533-position model. The record is from RNAcentral.
UACGUAGGUGGCAAGCGUUAUCCGGAAUUAUUGGGCGUAAAGAGCGCGCAGGUGGUUGAUUAAGUCUGAUGUGAAAGCCCACGGCUUAACCGUGGAGGGUCAUUGGAAACUGGUCGACUUGAGUGCAGAAGAGGGAGGUGGAAUUCCAUGUGUAGCGGUGAAAUGCGUAGAGAUAUGGAGGAACACCAGUGGCGAAGGCGGCUUCCUGGUCUGUAACUGACACUGAGGCGCGAAAGCGUGGGGAGCAAACAGGAUUAGAUACU